ACUAUUUGGAAUCAGUGACGUUUCGGGAGCACUGCCGCUGCCAUGAACAUGUCGGUCCCAAGCGACUCAUGAAACAACUGCCCAUUCAGUCCACGGCUGGUGCCAUCCUGGUUCGCAAUGAGAAAGUUCAAUGUGGGAGAGAGCCCUUUGUGCUAGAGAGGAUCAGUGGAACCAAAAACAAAGAGGGCUUGUGGGACAGUGUUUAUGAAGUCUACAUGAGUGUGCAGUAAUGCUCUAGUCUUUCACAUCAAUCACCACCUCGCUGAGUAAAUUCCAGUCCUGCAGUAUCCAUUCUUGAUGCGGAGGCUCGAAGAAGUCACAGUCAUGGUUAAGGUCCCAGACUGAGGUGGCAGAACCAGAACUAGAAAUAAAGCGUC
Long non-coding RNA from Eptesicus fuscus (big brown bat), 377 nucleotides. RefSeq lists it as uncharacterized. Lineage: Eukaryota; Metazoa; Chordata; Mammalia; Chiroptera; Vespertilionidae. The transcript is spliced from 3 exons. The record is from RefSeq and is a predicted model, not a curated record.